GAUCAGGCUGUUGGUGAGGUAAUGGCCCACCAAACCUGUAACCGGUACGGGCUCUGAGAGGAGGAGCCCGGAGAUGGGCACUGAGACAAGGGCCCAGGCCCUAUGGGGCGCAGCAGGCGCGAAACCUCUGCAAUAGGCGAAAGCUUGACAGGGUUACUCUGAGUGAUUUCCGUUAAGGAGAUCUUUUGGCACCUCUAAAAAUGGUGCAGAAUAAGGGGUGGGCAAGUCUGGUGUCAGCCGCCGCGGUAAUACCAGCACCCCGAGUGGUCGGGACGUUUAUUGGGCCUAAAGCAUCCGUAGCCGGUUCUACAAGUCUUCCGUUAAAUCCACCUGCUUAACAGAUGGGCUGCGGAAGAUACUAUAGAACUAGGAGGCGGGAGAGGCAAGCGGUACUCGAUGGGUAGGGGUAAAAUCCGUUGAUCCAUUGAAGACCACCAGUGGCGAAGGCGGCUUGCCAGAACGCGCUCGACGGUGAGGGAUGAAAGCUGGGGGAGCAAACCGGAUUAGAUACCCGGGUAGUCCCAGCUGUAAACGAUGCAGACUCGGUGAU
This 550-nucleotide ribosomal RNA is filed under the name uncultured archaeon. RNAcentral describes it as "bacterial SSU rRNA". It matches the Rfam family "Archaeal small subunit ribosomal RNA", at positions 223 to 775 of the family's 1478-position model. The record is from RNAcentral.